UCUUCCCGAGGAGUGGUUUUGUGGGGAGUGUGAUGUAUUACGUCACAAAAAACAGCCACUCCACAACAGGGAAUGUGUCAUUCAUGGAUUUUUUUGAAGCCAUUCCACCAACCUCGUAUGCCAUUAAAGAGGAAGAUGGAUAUCGCAUCCAUGAGCAAGGACGUUUUGACUUGCAUCAGCCACUAUAUGUAUGUCAAACGUGCCAGCAUCAGUGGACCCCUGAAUUGAAGGACCUCCUUAGGAGUGGAUAUUGGCCUCUGUGACUAAUUCCACACUUUAUACACUGGACGUCCUGAGCUCUUUUCAGGAACUCAAGGUGAUCUCUCCGGGAUUCUCCAGACAAGCCUUCGCAAAGCUGCUGGAGCAUCGCACUAAGAUUGGCGGAAGAACUGGACAAAUCAAUGGUGAUGCACUACAGCGCAGCUUCUUGGAGUUUUCAUGUGCUUCAUUUGAGGAAGAGCAGCUCUGCUGUGGUGCUCCUUUCACCUGCCCAGCCUGCACGCCAGAAAUGUUGGCUGUUUCUGCUGAUGGAAAUAGAAAGCAGUAUCGCUUUCGUAGAGAGACAAGCUCUGAUGAUCCUGGCUUUUUUAAGGGGCUCUUUGUGGCUGAAGACAGUGCGGUGUCUAGAUUUGUAGACACCAAACAUAAAGCAGUGAGAAAU
Molecule: long non-coding RNA, 661 nt
Organism: Labeo rohita (rohu)
Lineage: Eukaryota; Metazoa; Chordata; Actinopteri; Cypriniformes; Cyprinidae
Exons: 4
Source: RefSeq, a predicted model, not a curated record